GCUGCGAGAGUGAGUACGAGAGUCGAGACAACGUUAUGCACUUUAGUGUAGGUGUUUAAGGUUAUUUAGUGGAUUGGAUCUUGUUGGGCUAAGAAAUGAAACAAUAAAAUGGGUAAUUGGGCCAAAAAUUAAAAAAUUAGAAAUGAAACAAAUUAUUGGGUUAAAAAUUUGGAUUUAGAAAUUGUUAAUUUGUUAAGAAAAAAUUAAAAUUAAAAUAAUUUGAUUUACUCAAUAUAAAAAAA
Molecule: long non-coding RNA, 242 nt
Filed under: Olea europaea (common olive)
Lineage: Eukaryota; Viridiplantae; Streptophyta; Magnoliopsida; Lamiales; Oleaceae
Description: long non-coding RNA (OEUR_LNC011955)
Source: RNAcentral